CAGAUUAAAGCUUUUUAAGCAUUUUAGUUACAUUAAAAAGAUUAUUAUUAAAUUAAUAUAGUCUGA
This 66-nucleotide transfer RNA is filed under the name Kyklioacalles sp. BMNH 1043787. RNAcentral's name for it is "tRNA-Val". Lineage: Eukaryota; Metazoa; Arthropoda; Insecta; Coleoptera; Curculionidae. The record is from RNAcentral.